This 881-nucleotide ribosomal RNA is filed under the name uncultured bacterium. Its description in RNAcentral is "bacterial SSU rRNA". It matches the Rfam family "Bacterial small subunit ribosomal RNA", at positions 8 to 853 of the family's 1533-position model. The record is from RNAcentral.
AGAGUUUGAUCCUGGCUCAGGACGAACGCUGGCGGCGUGCCUAAUACAUGCAAGUCGAACGAACUCUGGUAUUGAUUGGUGCUUGCAUCAUGAUUUACAUUUGAGUGAGUGGCGAACUGGUGAGUAACACGUGGGAAACCUGCCCGGAAGCGGGGGAUAACACCUGGAAACAGAUGCUAAUACCGCAUAACAACUUGGACCGCAUGGUCCGAGCUUGAAAGAUGGCUUCGGCUAUCACUUCUGGAUGGUCCCGCGGCGUAUUAGCUAGAUGGUGAGGUAACGGCUCACCAUGGCAAUGAUACGUAGCCGACCUGAGAGGGUAAUCGGCCACAUUGGGACUGAGACACGGCCCAAACUCCUACGGGAGGCAGCAGUAGGGAAUCUUCCACAAUGGACGAAAGUCUGAUGGAGCAACGCCGCGUGAGUGAAGAAGGGUUUCGGCUCGUAAAACUCUGUUGUUAAAGAAGAACAUAUCUGAGAGUAACUGUUCAGGUAUUGACGGUAUUUAACCAGAAAGCCACGGCUAACUACGUGCCAGCAGCCGCGGUAAUACGUAGGUGGCAAGCGUUGUCCGGAUUUAUUGGGCGUAAAGCGAGCGCAGGCGGUUUUUUAAGUCUGAUGUGAAAGCCUUCGGCUCAACCGAAGAAGUGCAUCGGAAACUGGGAAACUUGAGUGCAGAAGAGGACAGUGGAACUCCAUGUGUAGCGGUGAAAUGCGUAGAUAUAUGGAAGAACACCAGUGGCGAAGGCGGCUGUCUGGUCUGUAACUGACGCUGAGGCUCGAAAGUAUGGGUAGCAAACAGGAUUAGAUACCCUGGUAGUCCAUACCGUAAACGAUGAAUGCUAAGUGUUGGAGGGUUUCCGCCCUUCAGUGCUGCAGCU